CUCCCCCAAACCUCAAUCGGGCCAUUCUCUCCCACAACAACACCAAAUUAAAACCCUAAUGAUAUUAAAAAUCCCACCCCCACCACACCCCUACCCCGCCGCCGACGCUCCAUCCCCACCACACCCCUCCCCGCCACUGACGCCCCAUUUCCACCACUGUCCUACCUCUGUUGCGCCCUUGCUGUCCACCCCCAGUACUAAAGGUGAGUCAUUUUUUUGCCAUUUUUUUUCAAUCUUAUUUCUAUCAUUAUUAGUAUUAAACCCACAUAAUAGGAUUAUGGGUUUGGAUUUACCAUCUGGUGGGCAUUUAACACAUGGUUAUUAUACAUCUGGUGGGAAAAAGAUAUCGGCUACUUCAAUUUACUUUGAGAGUUUACCUUAUAAGUUGGAUUCGACAACUGGAUAUAUUGAUUACGAUAGAUUGGAAGAGAAAGCGUUGAAUUUUAGACCUAAAUUGAUUAUUUGUGGUGGUAGUGCUUACCCAAGGGAUUGGGAUUAUAAAAGGUUUAGAGAAGUUGCUGAUAAAUGUGGGGCUCUUUUGCUUUGUGAUAUGGCUCAUAUUAGUGGACUUGUUGCAGCUCAGGUACUUUGUGUAGUUGGAGAUGUUUUUUUUUUUUUUUGCAUGACACAAAUGGGCUGUCCCUUUUGAGAAAGCAUUUAUGAUUGUAGAAGUACUUUGAUGAAUUGGACGUGUUGAUGAGUUGCAUUGUUGAUUUGGUUGAUGAGUGUGACUGGCAGGUGGGCUGCUGUAAAAGAGGGUAAAAAAUCCACUAAUGUGCCCUCCCCAAGAUCCUGAUAUAGCCUGGUAUACAAAGAUUGAGACUUGCUUAACUCCCUUACUUGAAGUUUCAAGUGAAGAAGAGGUGGCUGGUGGACAAUUGAAAAAGUGGCCUAAAAGAUUACAAGCGAUACCACCAAGGAUAAGCAGGGGUACUGUAACUUCAAUUGAUAAGUGUUUGAAUGUAGUUUUAAUUCGAAUUAGAAGUACUUUGAAGGUGAAUUUGAUUGUAGAAUGUAGUUUAUGGUUGUUUAAGUUUAUGAUGUUUAAGUGUUUCAAUGUAGUUGUAAUUUGAAUUAGAAGUACUUUAAAUUGGAGUUUGAGGUUGAAUUUGAUUGUAGAAGUACUUUGAUGAAUUGGAUGUGUUGAUGAAUUGCAUUGUUGAUUUGGUUGAUGAA
Molecule: RNA transcript, 1176 nt
Organism: Lycium barbarum (goji berry)
Lineage: Eukaryota; Viridiplantae; Streptophyta; Magnoliopsida; Solanales; Solanaceae
Gene name: probable methyltransferase PMT14
Exons: 4
Source: RefSeq, a predicted model, not a curated record